UACGUAGGGGGCAAGCGUUGUCCGGAAUCAUUGGGCGUAAAGCGCGUGUAGGCGGCCCGGUAAGUCCGCUGUGAAAGUCGGGGGCUCAACCCUCGGAUGCCGGUGGAUACUGUCGGGCUAGAGUGCGGGAGAGGCGAGUGGAAUUCCUGGUGUAGCGGCGAAAUGCGCAGAUAUCAGGAGGAACACCAAUUGCGAAGGCAGCUCGCUGGAACGUUACUGACGCUGAGACGCGAAAGCGUGGGGAGCAAACAGG
RNAcentral lists this ribosomal RNA (253 nucleotides) under uncultured bacterium. RNAcentral's name for it is "partial 16S ribosomal RNA". It matches the Rfam family "Bacterial small subunit ribosomal RNA", at positions 524 to 776 of the family's 1533-position model. The record is from RNAcentral.